GCAAUGGUGGUUCAGGGGUAGAAUUCUUGCCUUCCAUGCAGAAGACCCAGGUUCGAUUCCUGGCCAAGUGUA
RNAcentral lists this transfer RNA (72 nucleotides) under Loxodonta africana (African savanna elephant). It matches the Rfam family "tRNA". From Rfam's summary of the family: Transfer RNA (tRNA) molecules are approximately 80 nucleotides in length. The record is from Rfam by way of RNAcentral. Lineage: Eukaryota; Metazoa; Chordata; Mammalia; Proboscidea; Elephantidae.